This 2769-nucleotide long non-coding RNA is filed under the name Callithrix jacchus (white-tufted-ear marmoset). Its description in RNAcentral is "lncRNA (ENSCJAG00000078297.1)". The record is from RNAcentral. Lineage: Eukaryota; Metazoa; Chordata; Mammalia; Primates; Cebidae.
CUGGCUCACAGUUCCGCAUGGCUGGGGAGGCCUCAGGAAGCAGAAUCUGGCAGAAAGCAAAGGGGAAGCAAGGCAUGUCUUACACGCGGCAGGGCAGAGAGACAGCAGGGGAAAUCGCCACUUUUUUUUUUUUUUUUUUUUUUUUUUUUUUUUUAAUAGAAGGUUUUCUUUUAUCUUUUGAGUAAACUGCAGAAAGAAAGAGGAAAGAGGGAAAGACAUAUUUUUUUGACCACAUGCUAUCUUUAUUAGGCCUUAUUAUUUGGUAAUUAUCCUUUUAGCUAAAUGAAUGCCUAUUUCGUAGUGACCUGUGAUCUUAUUUUGUGAUACUAAAUGUUUUAAACUUUUGAUAUUUGACAGACUUAUUUGACAGACUUUCCAAAAUCAAAACUUCAAGUUCUAAAUUCAGUCUUUUGACCUGAAACUAACUUUUUAGAUACUAGGGUUCCCUGAAGUCCAAGAGAGACAUACUAGGUUCAUUUGACAUGUUAAAAUUACACAGGAAGGUUUGUUAAAUGUAAAGUGGUGUUUUGCUUUCUUUGGGUUAUAUUUAUAUAAAUGUAUUCCAAAAUUUUAUGAGAUUCCUAAAAUCCUGAUUUAUCUUACUGUAAUGUUAUCGGUAAUAAUUAUGAUAAUUAUGUUAAAUGAUGCUUUGGUCAAUGACAGACCACAUAUACAACGGUGGUCCCAUGAGAUUAUAAUGGAGCACAUAGAGAAGCCUGAUAUAUGGUACUUGAUAUUGGCAUUGUAGAUCAAGUAGGGGAAGUUAUUGAUAUUCAUUAAUGCUGCUGGUAAAUUUGUUUUUCAUAUAUAAAUGAUCUAGGUUUGUGAAAGUAUACUCUAUGAUGUGUGCAGUAGUGAAAAAUUGCCUAAUGAUGCAUUUUUCAGAACGUAUCCCUAUUGUUAAGUGAUGCGUGACUAUAUCACAUUUUGUCCCCACUUUAUUUGCAAGUCUGCCUUAUAGUUCCCACAGGUGCCUCCUUGGUUCUAGCUUUGGUCCCUUAAUUCUUGCACUGCUAUACCUCUUGAGUCAUUUUGCUGCUUUCAUUCUCUUCCCUUUUAUGAUCAAUUAUUCUUCCUUUGUCAUUAGCCCUUCAUGAAUGUGAUAAAAGUAUGUAUCUAGAUCAUAUUAUGCCUUUGAUCAAAACUCCAGUGUGUCCCACUGUCUACUGAAUAAACUCUCAAUCCUUGAUCUGGCAUUUAAGUCCCUGCAUUCUCUCACCUCUAAUCUCAUCUCCCCUACUCCUUUGCAUGCAUCUUACAUGAGCGCAAAAUCACAUAGCCCACUAUAAAUGGAAUAUAUCCUGUAAUGGUUAAUUUUAUGUAUCAGUUUGACUGGGACAUAGGAUACCCAGAUAUCUGGUUAAAUGUUUUGUGUUUUUUUUGAGAUGGAGUCUUGCUCUGUCACCCAGGCAAUGGUGUGAUCUCUGCUUGCUGCAACCACCACCUCCUGGGCUCAAGUAAUUCUCCUGCCUCAGUCUCCCAAAUAGCUGGAAUUAUAGGCUUAUGCUGUUAUGCCCAAUUAAUUUUUGUAUUUUUAGUAGAGACAGGGUUUUACCAUGUUGGCCAAGCUGGUCUUGAACUCCUGACCUCAACUGAUCCUCCCACUUCAGCCUCCCAAAAUACUGGGAUUAUAGGUGUGAGCUGCUGCACCCCACCUGGUUAAACAUUAUUUCUAGAUAUGUCUGUAAGGAUGUUUCAGGAAGAAAUUUGUUUGAGUUGGUGAACUGAGUAAAGUGAAUUGCCUUUCCCUGUGUUAGUAAGAAUCAUCCAAACUUUGAUGGCUCUGAACAAAAAGUCAGAGGAAGAUGAAUUCUCUCUCUCUGCCUGACUACUUAAGCUAGGUCAUUAGUCUUCUCUUGCUCUCAGACUGAGGAUUAUACCAACAGCUUCCCCGGAUCUCAGCCCUGCAGGCUUGGACUGGAAUUUCCAUUACCAACAUUCCUGGGUCUCCAGCUUGCACCUAAAGGAUUGUGGGACUUCUCUAUUUUCAUAGUCACGUGAGCUUAUUCCUUAUACAAAAUUAUUCUCUCUAUAUAGAAUGAGUAUAUACUCUAAUAUGGUUUGGCUAUGUCCCCACACAAAUCUCAUCUUGAAUUGUAGCUCCCACAAUUCCCACAUGUGGGAGGGACCCAUUGUGGGAUAAUUGAAUCACAGGAGCAGUUUCCCUCAUACUCUUUCUGUGGUAGUGAACAAGUCUCAUGAGACCUGAUGGUUUUAUAAGGCGUUUCCUCUUUCACUUGACUCUCAUUCUCUCUUUGCCUGCCACCAUGUAAGCUGUUUCUUUGCUCUUCCUUUGUCUUCUGCCAUGAUUGUGAGGCCUCCCCAGCCAUGUGAAACUGUGAGUUAAUUAAACCUCUUUCCUUUAUAAAUUACCCAGUCUCUGGUAUGUCAUUAUUAAUAGUGUAAAAACAGAUGAAUAUGUACUCUUAUUGGUUCUGUUUCACUGGAAAACCCUGACUAAUAUAUAAUCUGAGUUUAUUUGCCUCAGUGCUCUUAGAAUUAAUUUUCUGCCUUUGAAAUCCUUUUCUUCCCACAUACUCCUGUCAAAAUCCAAGUUCACUUUUAAAACCCUGCUGAGAUGCCACUUCCUUCAUCGGAACAUCUUUAAUCAUUCCAACCAAAAGUGACUCCACUCUCCUGGGACCCCUAAGACACCUGCUCUGUUCUAUUUCUUGUUGUUGGAGUAAUUUCUCCAGAAGUCUCAUCUCUCCUACUCACAGUGAGUUUUUUAGAUGAAGGUACCAUAUCCUGGCUUCCCUUCUCCCCCAG